CCUACGGGCGGCAGCAGUGGGGGAUAUUGGACAAUGGGGGGAACCCUGAUCCAGCGACGCCGCGUGAGUGAAGAAGUAUUUCGGUAUGUAAAGCUCUGUCAGCAGGGAAGAAAGCAAUGACGGUACCUGACCAAGAAGCCCCGGCUAACUACGUGCCAGCAGCCGCGGUAAUACGUAGGGGGCAAGCGUUAUCCGGAAUUACUGGGUGUAAAGGGGGCGUAGACGGCUGUGCAAGUCUGGAGUGAAAGGCGGGGGCCCAACCCCCGGACUGCUCUGGAGACUGUAUGGCUGGAGUGCAGGAGAGGUAAGCGGAAUUCCUAGUGUAGCGGUGAAAUGCGUAGAUAUUAGGAGGAACACCAGUGGCGAAGGCGGCUUACUGGACUGUAACUGACGUUGAGGCUCGAAAGCGUGGGGAGCAAACAGGAUUAGAUACCCUUGUAGUC
RNAcentral lists this ribosomal RNA (443 nucleotides) under uncultured bacterium. RNAcentral describes it as "partial 16S ribosomal RNA". It matches the Rfam family "Bacterial small subunit ribosomal RNA", at positions 338 to 795 of the family's 1533-position model. The record is from RNAcentral.